This 271-nucleotide non-coding RNA is filed under the name Albugo candida. RNAcentral's name for it is "Eukaryotic small subunit ribosomal RNA". It matches the Rfam family "Eukaryotic small subunit ribosomal RNA", at positions 802 to 1070 of the family's 1831-position model. The record is from Rfam by way of RNAcentral. Lineage: Eukaryota; Oomycota; Peronosporomycetes; Albuginales; Albuginaceae.
CUUCAGCAUGGAAUAAUAAGAUACGACCUUGGUGGUCUAUUUUGUUGGUUUGCACACCAGGGUAAUGAUUAAUAGGGACAGUUGGGGGUAUUCAUAUUUCAGCGUCAGAGGUGAAAUUCUUGGAUCGUUGGAAGAUGAGCUUAGGCGAAAGCAUUUACCAAGGAUGUUUUCAUUAAUCAAGAACGAAAGUUAGGGGAUCGGAAGAUGAUUAGAUACCAUCGUAGUCUUAACCAUAAACUAUGCCGACUCGGGAUUGGCAGUCGUUUACUUU